AACGAACGCUGGCGGCAUGCCUAACACAUGCAAGUCGAACGAACCCUUCGGGGUUAGUGGCGCACGGGUGCGUAACGCGUGGGAAUCUGCCCUUGGGUUCGGAAUAACAGUUAGAAAUGACUGCUAAUACCGGAUGAUGUCUUCGGACCAAAGAUUUAUCGCCCAGGGAUGAGCCCGCGUAGGAUUAGGUAGUUGGUGGGGUAAAGGCCUACCAAGCCGACGAUCCUUAGCUGGUCUGAGAGGAUGAUCAGCCACACUGGGACUGAGACACGGCCCAGACUCCUACGGGAGGCAGCAGUGGGGAAUAUUGGACAA
This 315-nucleotide ribosomal RNA is filed under the name uncultured bacterium. Its description in RNAcentral is "bacterial SSU rRNA". It matches the Rfam family "Bacterial small subunit ribosomal RNA", at positions 29 to 371 of the family's 1533-position model. The record is from RNAcentral.